This 210-nucleotide ribosomal RNA is filed under the name Staphylococcus aureus. RNAcentral describes it as "partial 23S ribosomal RNA". It matches the Rfam family "Bacterial large subunit ribosomal RNA", at positions 2711 to 2925 of the family's 2925-position model. The record is from RNAcentral. Lineage: Bacteria; Bacillati; Bacillota; Bacilli; Caryophanales; Staphylococcaceae.
GGUGUACCAGUUGUCGUGCCAACGGCAUAGCUGGGUAGCUAUGUGUGGACGGGAUAAGUGCUGAAAGCAUCUAAGCAUGAAGCCCCCCCUCAAGAUGAGAUUUCCCAACUUCGGUUAUAAGAUCCCUCAAAGAUGAUGAGGUUAAUAGGUUCGAGGUGGAAGCAUGGUGACAUGUGGAGCUGACGAAUACUAAUCGAUCGAAGACUUUAA